This 54-nucleotide transfer RNA is filed under the name Cavia porcellus (domestic guinea pig). It matches the Rfam family "tRNA", at positions 1 to 55 of the family's 71-position model. Rfam says of the family: Transfer RNA (tRNA) molecules are approximately 80 nucleotides in length. Their secondary structure includes four short double-helical elements and three loops (D, anti-codon, and T loops). The record is from Rfam by way of RNAcentral. Lineage: Eukaryota; Metazoa; Chordata; Mammalia; Rodentia; Caviidae.
GAGUACAUAGCUCAGUGGUAGAGCACUUAACUUAUAUUCAAGUUCCUGAGUUCA